UGUAUUUUUGUUUCAAUCUAUAAAGCAUCAAAUUUGUUAAUAAAUUCGGAAUCUCCAUCAUCUUCGUCGACAACAAAAAAGUAAAAAUAAAAAUAAAAAUCAAUAGAAUCAUUAAACAUUAAAUCUCAACCACAACAAUAUUAACAACAACAACAACAACAAAAACAACAAAAAAGUAAUUACAAUUCUUAAACAUUAAAUCUCAACAACAACAACAACAAAUAAAUAAAACCAAUAGAAUCGUUAAAC
This 249-nucleotide long non-coding RNA is filed under the name Lathyrus oleraceus (garden pea). RNAcentral's name for it is "Pisum sativum (pea) long non-coding RNA (PSAT_LNC004454)". The record is from RNAcentral. Lineage: Eukaryota; Viridiplantae; Streptophyta; Magnoliopsida; Fabales; Fabaceae.